UACGUAGGCAGCGAGCGUUUGUUCGGAAUUACUGGGCGUAAAGCGCGCGCAGGCGGUCCUUUAAGUCAGGGGUGAAAGCCCAGAGCUCAACUCUGGAACGGCCUUUGUGACUGCAUGGCUUGAGUACUGAAGAGGAUCGCGGAAUUCCCGGUGUAGAGGUGAAAUUCGUAGAUAUCGGGAGGAACACCAGUGGCGAAGGCGGCGAUCUGGGCAGUUACUGACGCUGAGGUGCGAAAGCGUGGGGAGCAAACAGGG
RNAcentral lists this ribosomal RNA (255 nucleotides) under uncultured bacterium. RNAcentral describes it as "partial 16S ribosomal RNA". It matches the Rfam family "Bacterial small subunit ribosomal RNA", at positions 524 to 777 of the family's 1533-position model. The record is from RNAcentral.